CGAAGGCAGACGCUUAACGACUGAGCCACCCAGGAUAUAUCUCACUGAAGAGCUAAGGUGAUAAAGUUCUUGGUUUAAUAGAAUUGUAAAUAAAACAUUACUAGCUCCUGUAGAACAUUGUCCUCGGAUUCAUCCUAUGCCCUUGCAGACCAAGACAUCAAGGGUUGAUCAGGAAUUUAAGAAAUUAUUAUAUCAAGAGGAAACUGUCUUCACAUAAUUACCACACAGAAAUGGUAUCUGGAGCCAAGUGAGUGAAUGGGUGAAGCAGAUGCAUGGAAGUUGAUGAAGACAAUGGCAAGCUCCCCUUAUUCAAGAUGACCACACUUAAAAUCAGUGAAUAAAAAAAUCCGUGUGGGCCAAAUAAAAUGUGUCUGUAGCAGUUUUGAAUGGGAGGCAAAAGUUUCAAACCUUGGACUAGCACUGGACUGUUCUCUAAAUAUUCAAGAAGCAUUAUUGAUUUGGAGUCUUGGAGCAAGAUCUUACAUGUACUUUACAUUAAAUUGUGAUCUCUAAUGA
Non-coding RNA from Leptonychotes weddellii (Weddell seal), 516 nucleotides. NCBI's taxonomy places the organism in Eukaryota, Metazoa, Chordata, Mammalia, Carnivora, Phocidae. The record is from RefSeq and is a predicted model, not a curated record.